AUACGCAAUCCGGCGAACAAUACUCUCAAAGUUUGACCUCAAAUCAGGUAGGAAUACCCGCUGAACUUAAGCAUAUCAAUAAGCGGAGGAAAAGAAACCAACCGGGAUUGCCUUAGUAACGGCGAGUGAAGCGGCAAAAGCUCAAAUUUGAAAUCUGGUACCUUCGGUGCCCGAGUUGUAAUUUGUAGAAGGUAACUUUGGGGCUGGUCCUUGUCUAUGUUCCUUGGAACAGGACGUCAUAGAGGGUGAGAAUCCCGUGUGGCGAGGAUCCCAGUUCUUUGUAAAGUGCUUUCGAAGAGUCGAGUUGUUUGGGAAUGCAGCUCUAAGUGGGUGGUAAAUUCCAUCUAAAGCUAAAUAUUGGCGAGAGACCGAUAGCGAACAAGUACAGUGAUGGAAAGAUGAAAAGAACUUUGAAAAGAGAGUGAAAAAGUACGUGAAAUUGUUGAAAGGGAAGGGCAUUUGAUCAGACAUGGUGUUUUGCGCCCUCUGCUCCUUGUGGGUGGGGGAAUCUCGCAGCUCACUGGGCCAGCAUCAGUUUUGGCGGCAGGAUAAAUCUGCAGGAAUGUAGCUUGCCUCGGUAAGUGUUAUAUCCUGUAGAAAUACUGCCAGCUGGGACUGAGGACUGCGACUUUACGUCAAGGAUGCUGGCAUAAUGGUUAUAUGCCGCCCGUCUUGAAACACGGACCAAGGAGUCUAACGUCUAUGCGAGUGUU
Molecule: ribosomal RNA, 713 nt
Filed under: Torulaspora delbrueckii
Lineage: Eukaryota; Fungi; Ascomycota; Saccharomycetes; Saccharomycetales; Saccharomycetaceae
Description: LSU rRNA
Rfam family: Eukaryotic large subunit ribosomal RNA
Source: RNAcentral